AAUGACAGCCAUAUCACCCUGCAGCCCAAGACUGGUUGCCCACUGAAGCUAAGCAGGGUUGAGCUUGGUCAGUACCUGGAUGGGAGACCUCCAGAGAAAACUAAGUUGCUGCUGGAA
Sinocyclocheilus anshuiensis is the source of this 117-nucleotide ribosomal RNA. NCBI's taxonomy places the organism in Eukaryota, Metazoa, Chordata, Actinopteri, Cypriniformes, Cyprinidae. The record is from Ensembl.